Molecule: long non-coding RNA, 266 nt
Filed under: Lathyrus oleraceus (garden pea)
Lineage: Eukaryota; Viridiplantae; Streptophyta; Magnoliopsida; Fabales; Fabaceae
Description: Pisum sativum (pea) long non-coding RNA (PSAT_LNC008770)
Source: RNAcentral
UUUUAUGAUAAAAGACAGUGCAUUGUACUUUACAACUCAUAACCAUGUUUAUAUUGAAGUAUUAAAUACAAGACGAUGGAAUUGGAGGCGGCAGGAUUCUACGCUAAAUUCUUUUAAAACUAGUUUAAAUGAUAAGAUUUUGUUUUUCAUUUUAAGCAUGUAAUUUGAUUUCUAUUAUAUUUCCUUCCUCUUAUAUCUUAAAGGUGAACCAAAAAUAAAUGUUUAACAAACCAACAUUUACACACCUAUAAGAAAUUAAGAGGUUU